AUCCAGCUGACGAGUCCUAAAUAGGACGAAAUGUGCAUCCUGGAU
Molecule: non-coding RNA, 45 nt
Organism: Trichobilharzia regenti
Lineage: Eukaryota; Metazoa; Platyhelminthes; Trematoda; Strigeidida; Schistosomatidae
Source: Rfam